Molecule: transfer RNA, 71 nt
Filed under: Loxodonta africana (African savanna elephant)
Lineage: Eukaryota; Metazoa; Chordata; Mammalia; Proboscidea; Elephantidae
Rfam family: tRNA
About the family: Transfer RNA (tRNA) molecules are approximately 80 nucleotides in length. Their secondary structure includes four short double-helical elements and three loops (D, anti-codon, and T loops). Further hydrogen bonds mediate the characteristic L-shaped molecular structure. tRNAs have two regions of fundamental functional importance: the anti-codon, which is responsible for specific mRNA codon recognition, and the 3' end, to which the tRNAs corresponding amino acid is attached (by aminoacyl-tRNA synthetases). tRNAs cope with the degeneracy of the genetic code in two manners: having more than one tRNA (with a specific anti-codon) for a particular amino acid; and 'wobble' base-pairing, i.e. permitting non-standard base-pairing at the 3rd anti-codon position.
Source: Rfam by way of RNAcentral
ACAAAGGCAGUUCAGUGGUAGAAUUCUCACCUUCCAAGUGAGAGACCUGGGUUCUAUUCCCACCCAGUGCA